RNAcentral lists this ribosomal RNA (301 nucleotides) under uncultured bacterium. Its description in RNAcentral is "partial 16S ribosomal RNA". It matches the Rfam family "Bacterial small subunit ribosomal RNA", at positions 509 to 809 of the family's 1533-position model. The record is from RNAcentral.
CAGUAGCCACGGUAAUACAGAGGAUGCAAGCGUUAUCCGGAAUGAUUGGGCGUAAAGCGUCUGUAGGUAGCUUUUCAAGUCCGCCGUCAAAUCCCAGGGCUCAACCCUGGACAGGCGGUGGAAACUACCAAGCUAGAGUACGGUAGGGGCAGAGGGAAUUUCCGGUGGAGCGGUGAAAUGCGUUGAGAUCGAAAAGAACACCAACGACGAAAGCACUCUGCUGGGUCGACACUGACACUGAGAGACGAAAGCUAGGGGAGCAAAUGGGAUUAGAUACCCCCGUAGUCCCUGUCUCUUAUAA